Molecule: ribosomal RNA, 531 nt
Filed under: uncultured Streptococcus sp.
Lineage: Bacteria; Bacillati; Bacillota; Bacilli; Lactobacillales; Streptococcaceae
Description: bacterial SSU rRNA
Rfam family: Bacterial small subunit ribosomal RNA
Source: RNAcentral
GACGAACGCUGGCGGCGUGCCUAAUGCAUGCAAGUAGAACGCUGAGGUUUGGUGUUUACACUAGACUGAUGAGUUGCGAACGGGUGAGUAACGCGUAGGUAACCUGCCUCAUAGCGGGGGAUAACUAUUGGAAACGAUAGCUAAUACCGCAUAAGAGUAAUUAACACAUGUUAGUUAUUUAAAAGGAGCAAUUGCUUCACUGUGAGAUGGACCUGCGUUGUAUUAGCUAGUUGGUGAGGUAAAGGCUCACCAAGGCGACGAUACAUAGCCGACCUGAGAGGGUGAUCGGCCACACUGGGACUGAGACACGGCCCAGACUCCUACGGGAGGCAGCAGUAGGGAAUCUUCGGCAAUGGACGGAAGUCUGACCGAGCAACGCCGCGUGAGUGAAGAAGGUUUUCGGAUCGUAAAGCUCUGUUGUUAGAGAAGAACGUUGGUAGGAGUGGAAAAUCUACCAAGUGACGGUAACUAACCAGAAAGGGACGGCUAACUACGUGCCAGCAGCCGCGGUAAUACGUAGGUCCCGAGCGU